Molecule: ribosomal RNA, 258 nt
Filed under: uncultured bacterium
Lineage: Bacteria
Description: partial 16S ribosomal RNA
Rfam family: Bacterial small subunit ribosomal RNA
Source: RNAcentral
GACGUAGGGCGCGAGCGUUGUCCGGAUUUAUUGGGCGUAAAGAGCUCGUUAGGCGGCUUGUUGCGUCAGCUGUGAAAACCCGCAGCUCAACUGUGGGCUUGCAGCUGAUACGGGCAGGCUUGAGUUCGGUAGGGGAGACUGGAAUUCCUGGAUGUAGCGGUGAAAAUGCGCAGAUAGUCAGGAGGAACACCGGUGGCGAAGGCGGGUCUCUGGGGCCGAUACUGACGCUGAGGAGCGAAAGCGUGGGGAGCGAACAGG